GACGAACGCUGGCGGCGUGCUUAACACAUGCAAGUCGAACGGAAAGGCCCUGCUUUUGUGGGGUGCUCGAGUGGCGAACGGGUGAGUAACACGUGAGUAACCUGCCCUUGACUUUGGGAUAACUUCAGGAAACUGGGGCUAAUACCGGAUAGGAGCUCCUGCUGCAUGGUGGGGGUUGGAAAGUUUCGGCGGUUGGGGAUGGACUCGCGGCUUAUCAGCUUGUUGGUGGGGUAGUGGCUUACCAAGGCUUUGACGGGUAGCCGGCCUGAGAGGGUGACCGGCCACAUUGGGACUGAGAUACGGCCCAGACUCCUACGGGAGGCAACAGUGGGGAAUAUUGCACAAUGGGCGGGAGCCUGAUGCAGCAACGCCGCGGGCGGGAUGACGGCCUUCGGGUUGUAAACCGCUUUCGCCUGUGACGAAGCGUGAGUGACGGUAAUGGGUAAAGAAGCACCGGCUAACUACGUG
Molecule: ribosomal RNA, 468 nt
Filed under: uncultured bacterium
Lineage: Bacteria
Description: partial 16S ribosomal RNA
Rfam family: Bacterial small subunit ribosomal RNA
Source: RNAcentral